RNAcentral lists this ribosomal RNA (458 nucleotides) under uncultured bacterium. Its description in RNAcentral is "partial 16S ribosomal RNA". It matches the Rfam family "Bacterial small subunit ribosomal RNA", at positions 338 to 795 of the family's 1533-position model. The record is from RNAcentral.
CCUACGGGUGGCAGCAGUGGGGAAUAUUGCACAAUGGGGGAAACCCUGAUGCAGCGACGCCGCGUGAGUGAAGAAGUAUUUCGGUAUGUAAAGCUCUAUCAGCAGGGAAGAAAUAGCGACCUUUGGGUCGCCAGACGGUACCUGAUUAAGAAGCCCCGGCUAACUACGUGCCAGCAGCCGCGGUAAUACGUAGGGGGCAAGCGUUAUCCGGAUUUACUGGGUGUAAAGGGGGCGCAGACGGCGAUGCAAGCCAGGAGUGAAAGCCCGGGGCCCAACCCCGGGACUGCUCUUGGAACUGCGUGGCUUGAGUGCAGGAGGGGCAGGCGGAAUUCCUGGUGUAGCGGUGAAAUGCGUAGAUAGCAGGAGGAACACCGGUGGCGAAGGCGGCCUGCUGGACUGCAACUGACGUUGAGGCCCGAAAGCGUGGGGAGCAAACAGGAUUAGAUACCCCUGUAGUC